This 45-nucleotide non-coding RNA is filed under the name Schistosoma margrebowiei. Lineage: Eukaryota; Metazoa; Platyhelminthes; Trematoda; Strigeidida; Schistosomatidae. The record is from RNAcentral.
AUCCAGCUGACGAGUUCCAACUUGAACGAAACGCACGUCCUUGAU